Molecule: ribosomal RNA, 380 nt
Filed under: uncultured eukaryote
Lineage: Eukaryota
Description: partial 18S ribosomal RNA
Rfam family: Eukaryotic small subunit ribosomal RNA
Source: RNAcentral
CAAUAGCGUAUAUUAAAGUUGUUGCAGUUAGAACGCUCGUAGUCGGAUUUCGGGGCGUUCCGACCGGUCUGCCGAUGGGUAUGCACUGGCCGGAGUGUCCCUUUUGCCGGAGACCGUGCCUACUCUUAACUGAGCGGGGGCGGGAGACGGCACUUUUACUUUGAAAAAAUCAGAGUGUUUCAAGCAGGCAGCUCGCUCUUGCAUGGAUUAGCAUGGGAUAAUGAAAUAGGACUUUGGUGCUAUUUUGUUGGUUUCGAACACCGAAGUAAUGAUGAGAAGGGACAGUCAGGGGCACUCGUAUUCCGCAGAGAGAGGUGAAAUUCUCAGACCCGCGGAAGACGAACCACUGCGAAAGCAUUUGCCAGGGAUGUUUUCACUGA